CUAUGUGAUUUAAAUCAUUUUCUGUAGGUUAGUCCACUAUCGUUAUUAUGAGGUAGAAAAUUGAUGAUUCUAUAAAGACAAGAAAGAGCCGGUGGUGGCUCUACAUCAGUGUAAGCCGUGGUGACUAUUAUUUAUGUAGAGUACUUUCAACAACAACACCCUGCAGCUUCUGAAGAAGGGGGGCUUCCUAUGAGCUUGGUCAAGGAUAGUCAACACGGAGAUUGAGUAGCAGGGAGACAUGGAGAAAGAAUUGUGAAAUUUUAAAAAAUAAAAUAUAAACGUGUAUUUCUGUGCCAGUAUUAAUUGAAUUCCAUGCAAUAAUCAUUCAGGAAUCGUUGCUAGGAAAUCAGCGGCUACUAGUCUAGCUGAGUUCAGACAGGAAUGUGUCAUUCAUACAAUACAAACAGGGAAGGGCUUUGAAGAGCAUGAAACUGGGCUCUGUCCAAUUCUAUUCAAGGAAACAUAGUGCAGGGUUUUUUAGACACAGCUAAGGUGAAAAAUCUUUCCCAAGGUGAUCUAAUUUCCAGGGUGGUGACCUGGAGCGCCACCCAUGGGUCUCAUUUCGUCUGCCCAGCCGGUCACUGCUGUCCCUUACAGCUGUUGUCUGGCUUCUGACCCAAGACCUGGCUGCUGUGUGUCUGGGACCAGAGUGAUGGCUGAGUUGGGAGGAAAAUGACAUCUUUUUAGAGAGGAACUUGGAAAGUGAAUUUCAUCCCCCCCAAAAGCCACCCUUUGGAAUUGAUUGGGGCUCAGAGGAAGACCCCAACUCAUCACUUGAGAGCCUAGCCCCACCCAGCCUCUUCUUGCUCUCCUAGCCCACACUCCUUUCCUUGUAGCACAAACCACCAGUCAGUCUCUUCUGUGUUUAAGGAUUUAUAUG
This 880-nucleotide long non-coding RNA is filed under the name Marmota monax (woodchuck). Lineage: Eukaryota; Metazoa; Chordata; Mammalia; Rodentia; Sciuridae. The record is from RNAcentral.